RNAcentral lists this ribosomal RNA (429 nucleotides) under uncultured Nitratireductor sp. RNAcentral describes it as "bacterial SSU rRNA". It matches the Rfam family "Bacterial small subunit ribosomal RNA", at positions 9 to 486 of the family's 1533-position model. Lineage: Bacteria; Pseudomonadati; Pseudomonadota; Alphaproteobacteria; Hyphomicrobiales; Phyllobacteriaceae. The record is from RNAcentral.
GAGUUUGAUCCUGGCUCAGAACGAACGCUGGCGGCAGGCUUAACACAUGCAAGUCGAGCGCCCCGCAAGGGGAGCGGCAGACGGGUGAGUAACGCGUGGGAAUCUACCCAUCUGUACGGAAUAACUCAGGGAAACUUGUGCUAAUACCGUAUACGCCCUUCGGGGGAAAGAUUUAUCGGAGAUGGAUGAGCCCGCGUUGGAUUAGCUAGUUGGUGGGGUAAUGGCCUACCAAGGCGACGAUCCAUAGCUGGUCUGAGAGGAUGAUCAGCCACACUGGGACUGAGACACGGCCCAGACUCCUACGGGAGGCAGCAGUGGGGAAUAUUGGACAAUGGGCGCAAGCCUGAUCCAGCCAUGCCGCGUGAGUGAUGAAGGCCCUAGGGUUGUAAAGCUCUUUCACCGGUGAAGAUAAUGACGGUACCCGGAGAA